GGGCACACCAUCAGGAUGUUAGUACAUCCUGAUGCACCCUGAAGGGAGGUCUGCACUGUGACUUUUGUGGGGAUGCCCUGUAAGCACAACAUCGUGCAACCUCCAGCUUCCUUGGACACGAAAUCCACUCUGCUGUGUUCGGCAUCGCCUCUUCUCUCUGGGAGCUGGACCGAUGAUGCCAGGGUAUAAGUUACUGAAGUUCAUUUCUGCUCAUAAAAGGACCUUUACUCCAUACUUCGUUCCUUGCACACACAGGACAAAUCUCCAAAAAAACUGUAGCUGGCGGGUUCAUCUAUGCAUUGCUCAAGUAAGUAACAGUUUAUCUCUUUGGUUGCCCACGUUGUUUUCCUGCAUUUGGAAGGUAGGUUGUUGGGA
This 375-nucleotide long non-coding RNA is filed under the name Rattus norvegicus (Norway rat). RNAcentral's name for it is "long non-coding RNA NONRATT031346". Lineage: Eukaryota; Metazoa; Chordata; Mammalia; Rodentia; Muridae. The record is from RNAcentral.